AUUUUUUCCUUUUUCCCCCCCCAUCUUACCCAACACUAUGUUGGUUGGAGCAAGUACGAGUCUAUGGGUGAGACUGAUUUUUUAUUUUUAUUUUGUUUUUUGGGGGGGCGGCUUUGUCUUAUUUGG
This 126-nucleotide ribosomal RNA is filed under the name Podospora comata. The record is from RNAcentral. Lineage: Eukaryota; Fungi; Ascomycota; Sordariomycetes; Sordariales; Podosporaceae.